UACGUAGGUGGCAAGCGUUGUCCGGAUUUAUUGGGUUUAAAGGGUGCGUAGGCGGUUCUAUAAGUCAGUGGUGAAAUCCGGCAGCUCAACUGUCGAUGUGCCAUUGAUACUGCAGAACUUGAGUACAGACGAGGUAGGCGGAAUUGACGGUGUAGCGGUGAAAUGCGUAGAUAUCAGAAGGAACACCCAUGGCGAAGGCAGCUCGCUGGCCUACAACUGACGCUGAGGCGCGAAAGCGUGGGGAGCAAACAGG
This 253-nucleotide ribosomal RNA is filed under the name uncultured bacterium. RNAcentral's name for it is "partial 16S ribosomal RNA". It matches the Rfam family "Bacterial small subunit ribosomal RNA", at positions 524 to 776 of the family's 1533-position model. The record is from RNAcentral.